RNAcentral lists this ribosomal RNA (802 nucleotides) under uncultured bacterium. RNAcentral describes it as "bacterial SSU rRNA". It matches the Rfam family "Bacterial small subunit ribosomal RNA", at positions 58 to 874 of the family's 1533-position model. The record is from RNAcentral.
CAAGUCGAGCGGAAAGGCCCUUCGGGGUACUCGAGCGGCGAACGGGUGAGUAACACGUGAGUAAUCUGCCCCAUGCUUCGGGAUAGCCAGCCGAAAGGCUGAUUAAUACCGGAUACGACACUCCCCGGCAUCGGGUGGGUGUGGAAAGUUUUUUCGGCGUGGGAUGUGCUCGCGGCCUAUCAGCUUGUUGGUGGGGUAAUGGCCUACCAAGGCUUCGACGGGUAGCCGGCCUGAGAGGGUGACCGGCCACACUGGGACUGAGACACGGCCCAGACUCCUACGGGAGGCAGCAGUGGGGAAUAUUGGACAAUGGGCGGAAGCCUGAUCCAGCAACGCCGCGUGAGGGAUGACGGCCUUCGGGUUGUAAACCUCUUUCAGCACAGACGAAGUGCAAGUGACGGUAUGUGCAGAAGAAGCGCCGGCUAACUACGUGCCAGCAGCCGCGGUAAUACGUAGGGCGCAAGCGUUGUCCGGAAUUAUUGGGCGUAAAGAGCUCGUAGGCGGUUUGGUAAGUCAGGUGUGAAAUCUCCACGCUCAACGUGGAGGGGCCACCUGAUACUGCCAUGAUGGAGUCCGGUAGAGGAGUGUGGAAUUCCCGGUGUAGCGGUGAAAUGCGCAGAUAUCGGGAGGAACACCCGUAGCGAAGGCGGCACUCUGGGCCGGUACUGACGCUGAGGAGCGAAAGCGUGGGGAUCAAACAGGAUUAGAUGCCCUGGUAGUCCACGCCGUAAACGUUGGGCACUAGGUGUGGGGCUCUAUCGACGGGUUCCGUGCCGCAGCUAACGCAUUAAGUGCCCCGCCU